UGGGGAAUUUUGCACAAUGGGGGAAACCCUGAUGCAGCGACGCCGCGUGAUUUAGAAGGCCUUCGGGUUGUAAAAAUCUUUUCUAUGGGAAGAAAAUGACAGUACCAUAGGAAUAAGGACCGGCUAAUUACGUGCCAGCAGCCGCGGUAAUACGUAAGGUCCGAGCGUUGUCCGGAAUCAUUGGGCGUAAAGGGUACGUAGGCGGGUAAGCAAGUUAGAAGUGAAAUCCUAUAGCUCAACUAUAGUAAGCUUUUAAAACUGCUCAUCUUGAGGUAUGGAAGGGAAAGUGGAAUUCCUAGUGUAGCGGUGAAAUGCGCAGAUAGUAGGAGGAAUACCGGUGGCGAAGGCGACUUUCUGGCCAUAACCUGACGCUGAGGUACGAAAGCGUGGGUAGCAAACAGGA
RNAcentral lists this ribosomal RNA (403 nucleotides) under bacterium. RNAcentral's name for it is "partial 16S ribosomal RNA". It matches the Rfam family "Bacterial small subunit ribosomal RNA", at positions 355 to 777 of the family's 1533-position model. The record is from RNAcentral.